UUGGCUUUUCUUUGGCUUGCUCUUGAAUUAUUUCCUGCGCAGAGUGAAGGCCGUUCACUUUGGGGUCCCAGGACGAGACAUUUGCUCUCCAGCAACAGUUUAAUGGACGGGAAAGCUUACAUAUCUAAAGCAAAACCCUGGAGCAACAUCUCGCCAGCAGGUCAUGGAGGCAGUCUUCAGUCUGGGGAUGGGAGGAGGUUGCCAAUUAUAGGGGAAAUUGACGUCAGAUGGACUGGUCAGUGGUUAACAAGGAAACCAGCAGAGGGGCACACCGCUCACCACCCCUCUGAUAAGCUCUAUGGUGAUGUUCUGAUCUAAAGGUUAGAACAAGCCACUGACUGGAGCCUGGGGCAAGUAUGUAGGAAGGUCAGUCGUGUGAGUAGGUGUAGGUGAAGCAGGCGCUGGUCCGGCUGGGGAUGUACAGCCACUCAAGAUGGCAACCAUUAUGAAUGGCCUGACCUACAAGAGUUUACAAAAUUGGGAAGUCGGCUGAGACCCAUUGAGCUGAUGACCGCUAACGGUCAUAAUCCAUCGGAACACUCCUGCCCUCAGUGGUGCUUUCUGCAACAUUUCUAAUACCUAGUGUUACCUGGAGACACAGAAGAAGCACUAUGCCCUUGAAGAACACAGCUCUGUGCACCCUGAAUCCAUGUGGGCUUUGAAAACCCAGCCCUUCAAAUACAGAGAGAGGACAUUAAGAUUAGAGACUGCCAGAGU
Long non-coding RNA from Bubalus bubalis (water buffalo), 717 nucleotides. RefSeq lists it as uncharacterized. The record is from RefSeq and is a predicted model, not a curated record. The transcript is spliced from 2 exons. Lineage: Eukaryota; Metazoa; Chordata; Mammalia; Artiodactyla; Bovidae.